GCGCGGCGGGGGUUGAUGGCCGACGGGGGCCUGUCGGAGACGUGCCCCGCGCGGCAGGGCGCAGGGGGCCCGAGAGGCCUUGCUGCUUUCUCUGACUGGUGGGGGCCUCGAGAAAGUCGCCUCGUAUUUCCGCUCAUCUCUUCUUUUUCAUUUUAAAAAAUGGGUCGACUGUCACUGUUUAUCCGGCUCUAAAAGUGAGGCGAUUUCUGAGUCAUGGUGGGAAUGAGUGCUCCCCGUGGCGAGGUGGCCUCCCGGUGGGCAGAGGUGGCUGCAUCCGCAGCCCUGGGCCUUGGUCGCCUGACGCCUGCAGUGGGUUGCAGCGCCGGUGCGUCAUCGUAUCUCACACGGGACCGCUGUAUUGUAGCCUUCAUUUUCCACGCACCCCAAGUUAAGGGGGAGGGUAACUGGGUUUGGAGUUUUCUAGAAACACGUAGACCUGGUGGCAGGGUCUCCCUGGAGACCUAAUGCAGCAGAACGCAGUCUGGGUGAAGUGCCUCCAUGUGGGCAUCUUAUAAAACGUGGGUUUCUUUUUUCUCUAGGGAGCUUGCCUGCUGGAAACCAAGGGCCUGGAAGGGCAUGCUGGGGUCCCUGGUCUUGGCUGCCUCAAGUCACGAGGUGGGCUUGCCUUUGACAGCAGGAGGCAGGAGCAGACUACCGGCGCAGUGAUGAGUGGAAAAGGAGGGAAGGUGACAGCCUGGGAACAUCAGCUCACAGGGUGAAUACUGGCCAGAACGACUGACCGUCGUGGUCCCUACCAAGAUCCAGAGGCCCAGGAACGGUGGGGCCCAGCUGUGUGCUGUGAGGGUGGCCAGUGGAACAGACCUACAGAUGGACGCCAGGCCUCUCUUCAGGACAGGAGUGGCCUGACGCGGUGGUUCGGGCAGGAUUUCUCUGGGGGCUGCAGCAUCUGAAGGCUUGACCGGGGCAGGAAGAGCCGCUUCCAAGAUGGCGUGCUCUGGCUGUGGGCAGGAGGCCGAGGGUCCUCACGACGUGGCAGCUGGCUUCCCCCAGCGUGGGCAUAAGCCAGCCUGGGAAGGGACGUCAUCACUCACGCCGGGUCCUGUGGUCACUGGCCAGCCCUGAUGCGGCGUGGGAGAAACCUUUCUGCUCUGCUGUCCUGAGGUCAGGAGGCUUGACCAGGAGGGAGAGCUGUGAUCCAGCACCAGAGGCGCUGCCGGUGGGUCAUCUCAAGUGGCCGGUUUUCUGUCUCCAUACAGGUGGGCAACCUGCUGGAUCAGCCACGGACAUUCCUCGGUCCUCCAGGAGGGCACCAGAGAGCAGAGAGGAUGCAGCUUGUAAAUGCUGGGGCCCUGGCACUCUGCUGCGGGGGCACGUCGGAGAGAAGUGGGAAAAUCACGGCCUUGAGAAGUGUCCUCCGAGGAGAAAGAAUCCGUAGGCUUAUGAAAUAAUUUUGUGUGGAAUGUUGGUGUGCUGUGAGAGGGAUUUGCAGAAAGAAGUGUUAGCAGAGACAGUUGGGAAUCCAAAAAACAAGGGAAACUAAAAGCGACAGCAGCAUGGUGAAGAGGACAAGAUGUGCUGGGGCCCAGGGCUCUGCUUUCCAUGAACGUGGUUGUUUUCGGAAGGCGCCCAAAGGCAGCUGUGGACUCAGCUCUGCUUUUGGAGGGAGACGAGUGGCUGACAGCAGUGUUCCUGCAGAGCAGCUCCCAGGGACAAGGAACAGCGUGCGGCUACCCUGCAUGUGCACCAUCUGUCGUAGGCGGAGGGCGAGGGGGCUCUUAGCUGCAGGGUUGCCCAGCACCCUUCAUCUCAAUGCCCUGAUUCUUAAAUCCUCCUGCCAUCACGGCAUCCUGGGAUGUGUGAUCUUUUGGCGCACACAGUUUUUGAACUGCCCUGAGCCCAUGGUCCUAAACUGUUUUUUAUUGUGCUUGGAUUAUCUUCCCCCCAAAAGGGGGAAAAAAUCUAGAUGGAAAAAGAUUUUAGUGCUAAGAAUAUGGAUAUUAUAGUUGAAAUUUUGGAACAUUUUAAGCAAAAGGUGUUAAAAUGAAUUCAAGGAUUUGUUUAAUGCCUUUUUCUUCAAGGAAAGAGUUGGCAACAGGAGAAUAAAUUGAUCUUGAAUAAAUUGUA
Long non-coding RNA from Diceros bicornis minor, 2085 nucleotides. RefSeq lists it as uncharacterized. The transcript is spliced from 6 exons. The record is from RefSeq and is a predicted model, not a curated record. Lineage: Eukaryota; Metazoa; Chordata; Mammalia; Perissodactyla; Rhinocerotidae.